This 198-nucleotide microRNA precursor is filed under the name Oryza glumipatula. Its description in RNAcentral is "MIR812 microRNA precursor family". It matches the Rfam family "MIR812 microRNA precursor family". The record is from Rfam by way of RNAcentral. Lineage: Eukaryota; Viridiplantae; Streptophyta; Magnoliopsida; Poales; Poaceae.
UGGAAGUAUAGUUUUAUACUAUUCAUAUCCAAUGUUUGACUUAUUUAAAAAAUUUUAUGAUUAAUAUUUUUAUUGUUAUUAGAUGAUAAAACAUGAAUAUUACUUUAUGUGUGACUAAUUUUUUUGAAAAAAAUCAUAAAAUUUCCAAAUAAGAUGGACGGUCAAACAUUGGAUACGCAUACCAACGCUGUACUUAUU